AACGCGAAGAACCUUACCAGGCCUUGACAUCCCUCUGCCAACCCUAGAGAUAGGGUGUGCCUUCGGGCCAGAGGAGACAGGUGGUGCAUGGUUGUCGUCAGCUCGUGUCGUGAGAUGUUGGGUUAAGUCCCGCAACGAGCGCAACCCUUGACGUUAGUUGCCAGCAUUAAGUUGGGCACUCUAGCGUGACUGCCGGUGACAAACCGGAGGAAGGCGGGGAUGACGUCAAAUCAUCAUGCCCCAUAUGGCCUGGGCUACACACGUACUACAAUGGCUGGUACAACGGGAAGCGAAGCUGCGAAGCGGAGCGAAUCUUAAGAAGCCAGUCUCAGUUCGGAUUGCAGGCUGCAACUCGCCUGCAUGAAGUCGGAAUUGCUAGUAAUCGCGGAUCAGCAUGCCGCGGUGAAUACGUUCCCGGGCCUUGUACACACCGGACACGC
This 440-nucleotide ribosomal RNA is filed under the name uncultured bacterium. RNAcentral describes it as "bacterial SSU rRNA". It matches the Rfam family "Bacterial small subunit ribosomal RNA", at positions 958 to 1402 of the family's 1533-position model. The record is from RNAcentral.